CCUACGGGCGGCAGCAGUGAGGAAUAUUGGUCAAUGGACGUAAGCCUGAACCAGCCAAGUCGCGUGAGGGAUGAAGGUUCUAUGGGUCGUAAACCUCUUUUAUAAGAGGGUAAUGUGCGGUACGUGUCCCUUUUUGUAUGUACCUUAUGAAUAAGGAUCGGCUAACUCCGUGCCAGCAGCCGCGGUAAUACGGAGGAUCCAAGCGUUAUCCGGAUUUAUUGGGUUUAAAGGGUGCGUAGGCGGUAUUUUAAGUCAGCGGUGAAAGUUUGUGGCUCAACCAUGGAAUUGUCGUUGAUACUGGGAGGCUUGAGUAUGGUUGAGGCAGGCGGAAUGCGUGGUGUAGCGGUGAAAUGCGUAGAUAUCACGCAGAACCCCGAUUGCGAAGGCAGCCUGCCAAGCCAUGACUGACGCUGAGGCACGAAAGCGUGGGGAGCAAACAGGAUUAGAUACCCGUGUAGUC
This 460-nucleotide ribosomal RNA is filed under the name uncultured bacterium. RNAcentral's name for it is "partial 16S ribosomal RNA". It matches the Rfam family "Bacterial small subunit ribosomal RNA", at positions 338 to 795 of the family's 1533-position model. The record is from RNAcentral.